Pseudonaja textilis is the source of this 2865-nucleotide non-coding RNA. Lineage: Eukaryota; Metazoa; Chordata; Lepidosauria; Squamata; Elapidae. The record is from RefSeq and is a predicted model, not a curated record.
GUGCUGCUAGAGAGAUUUCCGGUUCCCAUUUCUGUCCGUUUAUUCUUCCAGUAAGGAGAGGCGGCUGGUGCUUAUAAGCGUUCAGAGGACUAAACAGCAAACGAAGCCGGGUGGGCUGAGGAAUUCCGCGAACAUGUUCUUUGCAAUGGAGUUUAUGGUUCAGGAUAUAGUGCAGAAAAUAGGAUGAGGAAAUGUCAGUAUUUCAUACAGGAACACAGACAAGCAGAAGAGAAACUUGUGUUGCAGCAGUGACAGAAGAUGAGAUGAAAUUAUUCUAUGUAACUCUUUAUAACGUAAGAAUAUAUAUUGUUUAUAAAGAAAGGCAUUGAUGCUGGCAUUCUUCUCUUAUGCAGAGAUAAAAAUUAUAGUAUGUGUUAUAUGGAAAUAGGAUUAAGGACGGUACAUUUAUACAAUGAAUAAUUUUUAAACAGUUGGAACUAGAGACAAAAACAGUCUCUUGGUUAUCUGGUCUAGGAGAACACCUGAUCUUCUGGAGAACUGCUGCUCCACCAGUCAACUAUGCCACUAUAAACCCUUUCUUAUGCCUACCAAUCUAUUCCUACAAAAGUAGAACAGCCAAAUCUUUCUCCUGACUCUGUAAUCUAUCUUGCUGCUCUAGUAUGACUUAUAUUUUGGUUUCUAUUUUUCUUGGACCAAUUCCAGAGGUAUGAUCUUUUUAAUCUCUUCUCAAAUAUUCAAUCCAUCAAUUUCUCAGGUGUUUUCCUACAGUUGUCAGUCAGGCUAAAUUAAAAUAACACAGGCAAAAUAAUUUUAACAUUAACUAUAAUAUUGCAAAAGAAUGGGUGCGUUCUUUUGCAAAUCCUGUUCUGCUUGUGGGUGAAAAAUCCACAAGCAGAAUGGUAUUUUUAAAAUCAUUUUUACCUUGCCUGUUUAAUAACAAAAGAACAUUUUGAUUAAAUCCCCAAAGCUUGUUAUUCUCCCCCCUCCAGUUUUCUUGGAAGAUAAAAUUUUAAAGCCUUUUCCUAAGCCACUUGUAUCAUAGGAAAACACUUUCUGAGAUAAAAACAUCUUUAAAACUUGAGCUGUUUGUUCAGUGACAGCUAAUUACAAUAUAUACUCUGUAAUUCACAGGAAAAAGGUAUUACAAAUAUUUUCCUAUUAUAUAUUUUUUUCAUUCAGAAUCUAAUAGUUGAAGAACAUCAACACUUUACACCAAUAUGAAUUGAAAUUCUUAUGUGAAUAUGAAAAGCGCAUAAAAGAAAAUUAUUCUACCAUUUCAGUCAUAGACAGCAAGCAAAACAAACUGGUUAUUGUAAUAUCUCCUUUGAAGUUAAGAAAACCAUGAACAAAUAAAAGCAUAUAUUAGUUUAUAAAGUUGGGCUAUUACUGUUCUCUUCCACCUUUAAGUUUUUUUUUUAUAUGACCUCAAAUUGUGUUGAAGAAUAUUUCCAACUUUCUGGACAAAUUAGAUGAACAAGCAAAAGAUUUUAGGGGGCAGGUUACAUUGAAAAAUGGAAGUUUCCAUUAGACUACAAGAAUUUGGAAACUGUAAUAGGACAGACUAUUUCUUUGAUUCUCCUAUAAUAAUACCAGUUUUGCAACAGUACAUACAUAUAACAACUCAAUAAUUUCUUAACUUUGAGUACAACGGUUUAGAAAUGUGCUUUUGAACUUUCCAGAUUGCAAUGUAGGAAACAAUUAUAGAUACCUUAAAUAGCUACUCCUACAUGAAAGAAAAAGGGCUUAACUCAAAAUGCAAUGUGGAAACCAAUGGCUGACCCAUGGCCAGAUCCUGUACAUAUAUAUUCAGGAAAUUCCUGAAUAUCUAUUUAAUUGAAUAAACAUAGUUGCAGUCAUCUGCCUAUAUAAUUUGGAAUAAAAUCAGUAACUAUAGUAGCAUUUUCUUUCAAGUAUACAGAUUCAAAUUUUCAAAAUGGUCUUAGGCAGAAAAACUGGGUAAUCGCCAUAUUAUGUUAGUAAUAUGUAGCUGGAGUAUCAAAGCAUCAUUUUCAGAUGAGGCUCUACAAAGUAAUUGGUUAAUUCCCAACCUCAUUAAUUCUAUUCAAGAUUGCUUCCCAUCUAGUAGUACCUUAUUUCAAACAGGAGGGGUUUCCUCUCCAAGAUUUAUGUCCCAGCUGGAGUAUAUUGGAAGGGGGGGAGAGAGGAGGUGGAGAGAACAGGGUCAAAGGAAGAAAGUAUCAGAUUCUGGGAAAAAGUUAGCAUCCUUCAUCAGUGCAUACUACCCUGUACAAAUAUCCCAAUCCAGAGAGAGAGAAGCUGAAAAGCCAGUAUGGUGCAGCGGGGAAGGUGCUGGAUCAGAAACCAAGGAGAUUUGAGAGUUCCAGGCCUGCUAGGCAUGAAAAGUGGCUGAAUGAAUCACUCACUCUCUCAGAACAACCCACAUCAUAGGUGAUUGUUGUGAGGAAAACAGGAGGCAGGAGAAUUAGUUUUCCCCUUUGAGUUUUAUAUAUAUAAAUGGCAGGAUAAAAAUAUAAUAAAAAAGAACACCCCUGGUUUUAAAAUUAUAUGAAAAUAUAGAUUUGUUUUAGUAAGGCUGAAUCCCAAGUAUAAUUACUCAGUCUAUGAGUAAAUUUGCUUACAAAUUGACUAAUAAUCCAAGAAAUAAUGCAUUUGAGUUACUCUAAAACAGGGGUGUCAAAUGCAGGGCAUCACAUGUCGUAUCACAACUUUUCCCCCCUUUGUUAAACUGGGCAUGGGCAUGGUCAACAUGUGACUCAUCUGGCCCACGGGCUGCGAGUUUGACAGCCCUGUUCUCAGGUAAUGGUAAAUGCUAUUUAUUUGGAAUUAACAUGUGGCUUGAUAAACGUUCAGACUGAUGUAAAGAAAAUUCUCAUAGCACCUAAUAUCAUUUUGCAAAAACAUACCACUGGCAUGUAUGAGCCC